ACCCUUACCUGGAGAUACCAUGACAAUGAAAAUGGUUUUCCUAGUGCAAGGUUUAUCCAUGAACUCAAAUUGCAUUGACCCUUGUAAUUUCUCCAAAUGCUGGGAAAUUUAUUGCAUAAUUUAUUGUAGUGGGGACCUCAUUUGCACUCUUCUCUG
This is a small nuclear RNA of Onychomys torridus (southern grasshopper mouse), 156 nucleotides long. RefSeq annotates it as U1 spliceosomal RNA. The transcript has a single exon. Lineage: Eukaryota; Metazoa; Chordata; Mammalia; Rodentia; Cricetidae. The record is from RefSeq and is a predicted model, not a curated record.